AUACGGAGGAUCCGAGCGUUAUCCGGAUUUAUUGGGUUUAAAGGGAGCGUAGGUGGAUUGUUAAGUCAGUUGUGAAAGUUUGCGGCUCAACCGUAAAAUUGCAGUUGAUACUGGGUGUCUUGAGUACAGUAGAGGCAGGCGGAAUACGUGGUGUAGCGGUGAAAUGCUUAGAUAUCACGAAGAACACCGAUUGCGAAGGCAGCCUGCUGGACUGUAACUGACGCUGAUGCUCGAAAGUGUGGGUAUCAAACAGGAUUAGAUACCCUGGUAGUCCACACAGUAAACGAUGAAUACUCGCUGUUUGCGAUAUACAGUAAGCGGCCAAGCGAAAGCGUUAAGUAUUCCACCUGGGGAGUACGCCGGCAACGGUGAAACUCAAAUGAAUUGGCGGG
This 392-nucleotide ribosomal RNA is filed under the name uncultured bacterium. RNAcentral's name for it is "partial 16S ribosomal RNA". It matches the Rfam family "Bacterial small subunit ribosomal RNA", at positions 523 to 917 of the family's 1533-position model. The record is from RNAcentral.